GGAGUAAUGGCAGAGUUGGUCAAUGCGCUGGAUUGAAGUCCCAGAGAUAUAGGUUCGAAUCCUAUUUAUUCCA
Molecule: transfer RNA, 73 nt
Filed under: Kordia algicida OT-1
Lineage: Bacteria; Pseudomonadati; Bacteroidota; Flavobacteriia; Flavobacteriales; Flavobacteriaceae
Also listed under: 1 other name
Description: tRNA-Phe
Rfam family: tRNA
About the family: Transfer RNA (tRNA) molecules are approximately 80 nucleotides in length. Their secondary structure includes four short double-helical elements and three loops (D, anti-codon, and T loops).
Source: RNAcentral